This 492-nucleotide ribosomal RNA is filed under the name uncultured bacterium. RNAcentral describes it as "partial 16S ribosomal RNA". It matches the Rfam family "Bacterial small subunit ribosomal RNA", at positions 29 to 507 of the family's 1533-position model. The record is from RNAcentral.
AGUGAACGCUGGCGGUAGGCCUAACACAUGCAAGUCGAACGGCAGCACAGUAAGAGCUUGCUCUUACGGGUGGCGAGUGGCGGACGGGUGAGGAAUACAUCGGAAUCUACUUUUUCGUGGGGGAUAACGUAGGGAAACUUACGCUAAUACCGCAUACGACCUACGGGUGAAAGCAGGGGAUCUUCGGACCUUGCGCGAUUGAAUGAGCCGAUGUCGGAUUCGCUAGUUGGCGGGGUAAAGGCCCACCAAGGCGACGAUCCGUAGCUGGUCUGAGAGGAUGAUCAGCCACACUGGAACUGAGACACGGUCCAGACUCCUACGGGAGGCAGCAGUGGGGAAUAUUGGACAAUGGGCGAAAGCCUGAUCCAGCCAUACCGCGUGGGUGAAGAAGGCCUUCGGGUUGUAAAGCCCUUUUGUUGGGAAAGAAAAGCAGCAGGUUAAUACCCCGCUGUUCUGACGGUACCCAAAGAAUAAGCACCGGCUAACUUCGUG